UGUCCUAAAGUACUAGGGAAAAAAGGAGGGCCUGGGACAAAUUCUGAACGUAAACAGAAAGUUAUAGAAGGUUUGUUGAAGAGAAACCUUGAGGAGUUUUAUACUUGGUCAAGUUGGCUAAGAU
Ceratotherium simum simum (southern white rhinoceros) is the source of this 124-nucleotide non-coding RNA. NCBI's taxonomy places the organism in Eukaryota, Metazoa, Chordata, Mammalia, Perissodactyla, Rhinocerotidae. The record is from RefSeq and is a predicted model, not a curated record.